This 90-nucleotide transfer RNA is filed under the name Clostridium estertheticum. Its description in RNAcentral is "tRNA-Ser". It matches the Rfam family "tRNA". Rfam says of the family: Transfer RNA (tRNA) molecules are approximately 80 nucleotides in length. Their secondary structure includes four short double-helical elements and three loops (D, anti-codon, and T loops). The record is from RNAcentral. Lineage: Bacteria; Bacillati; Bacillota; Clostridia; Eubacteriales; Clostridiaceae. RNAcentral also lists the same sequence under 2 other names.
GGAGAGAUGUCCGAGUGGUUUAAGGAGCAUGCCUGGAAAGCGUGUGUAGGGGAAACCCUACCGAGGGUUCGAAUCCCUCUUUUUCCGCCA